CGCCCCUCUUUCGCGACCGUGACGCCCUUCCCCAGUCCCAUACCCAGGAGCUACAGCAGCUGCCGCCCCCAAGUGCCACCACCCAGCCCCGGCGGCCUCGGCCUGUGCGCGCGCUCGGGGGCCGGGGAUUGGUUCGCACUCCCAUUCAGGGGCUGCGCCGGCGGGCGGGAGGUGCGCGGCGUUCAGUGUGUCUGUGUGUGUUUGUGUCUGUGUGUGUGCGCGCGUGCGCGCGUGUGUGUGUGCGCGUGUCUGUGUGUCUGUACUGCGCGCGGGCGGGCGCGUGUGUGUGCGCGCGGGGGCCGGGGAUUGGUUCGCACUCCCAUUCAGGGGCUGCGCCGGCGGGCGGGAGGUGCGCGGCGUUCAGUGUGUCUGUGUGUGUUUGUGUCUGUGUGUGUGCGCGCGUGCGCGCGUGUGUGUGUGCGCGUGUCUGUGUGUCUGUACUGCGCGCGGGCGGGCGCGUGUGUGUGUGCGCGCGGGGGCUCUAGUGCAGGAGCCACUGGAUGUGCGUGCGUGUGUUAUGGGUUUGAUUCCAGAGCAGGUUGCACAUUGGUCCUGGGUGGCUCGCAGGCUCAGGUCGUGCUUGGGCGUCCUCCUCCUAAUCGUUUCCGAAGUAGCAGCAGCAGCAGCAGCAGCACCAGCAGCAGCAGCCGCCGCGGCAGCAUCGCAGCAGCUCAGCGGCACAGCCGGCAGAACUGUGCAGAAGCGAGCACCGUUUGGGGAGUCCGGGGGGCGGCAGUUACAUCCAGCUGUUUAUUGCCUAAGCAUUCUGGGGCUUGCUUCAUCACUUGGCUUUGCUGUGGAGCACUCCUGUAGAGCUUACUGAAUUGCAUAUUGAAGAUCCACCCAUUUGGUGAGUGGAAUCAUAGCUACAAUUUUAUGUUUUGCUCUGCUCAAGUUGUGUUUGCAUUGUUGACCAAAGUGCUUUCAUAUAGAGAGCAAAAUAGGGCUUUUCCAGCUCUGUGUAAGAAAGCUGGCUUUUCUUUUUUUUACUUUUUUUUUCUUUUUCCCUUAUGGACAAAAGUAAUUUGUACUGUCAUUUUCUCUCUCUGAAAUCAGCAAUUCUCUCUCCUUCCCAACCCAAGAGAAUGACCUUACCAUUCUUCAGUCAUGCAUCUGUUUCUUAUCUACCUGAAUGGACCUCUCCCCAGCUCUCAAGUUCUCAUUCCCUGACCUCUAAGAAUAAUUUGGCCAUCACACUUUUGGUAUUCGCUAUGUACACUUGGAAAUAAAAGGUGGUGGUUGUGAUUAGCUGGCUCACAUAGUAUCACAUUCUCAUGUAUAAAGACC
This 1287-nucleotide long non-coding RNA is filed under the name Bos grunniens (domestic yak). RNAcentral describes it as "lncRNA (ENSBGRG00000001433.1)". Lineage: Eukaryota; Metazoa; Chordata; Mammalia; Artiodactyla; Bovidae. The record is from RNAcentral.